This 294-nucleotide ribosomal RNA is filed under the name Triticum aestivum (bread wheat). Its description in RNAcentral is "partial small subunit ribosomal RNA". Lineage: Eukaryota; Viridiplantae; Streptophyta; Magnoliopsida; Poales; Poaceae. The record is from RNAcentral.
AUGAGAUUCACUUUGCCGAAUGGUGUAACGUCAUCUAUGGAGAUUUUCGAGCAUGUCACAGAAGUUGACAGUCACCCUAAUAUCUCAACUGUUUAUCGCACCUUAUUUAUUGUGCUUGUGAUGGCUGACAGAAGCUUUUCAAAGACGAAAUUACCGAGGAACUAUCUGAGGUCAACAAUGACUCAAGUGAGGUUAAAUUGUUUAGCAACAUUAUGCAUCGAGAAGAAAUUAUUGGAUUAUAUAGACGUCGACCUCAGUGACUUUGCAUCGAGGAAUGUUAGAAGAAAAUUUUAA